Molecule: long non-coding RNA, 1365 nt
Organism: Canis lupus familiaris (dog)
Lineage: Eukaryota; Metazoa; Chordata; Mammalia; Carnivora; Canidae
Exons: 4
Source: RefSeq, a predicted model, not a curated record
UAAUACAAAUACAGUCGGAUGGAUUUUCACAUGGUGAACAUACCUGAGUAACCAGAACUUGGAAAUGGAACAUCGGAACUUACCCCAUGGUUACCUGCGUUCUCUCUCGUCAGGACCUGCCAUGAUUCCCCACCAAAGUAUGAUCUGUCUUAUAACUUUGGACACCAUAAAUUCAUUUUGCUUGGUUUUGAACUUAUGGCAAAUGGAAUGAUACAGUAUAUACUCUGCUUCUUCUGUUGGUUUGCUGCAUGGUAUGCUGUUGUGUCCUGGAUACUGGGGAACUUCCACGUGGCCAUCAUGGAGAGCGAUGCCGUGAGUCCCAGGACAUUCCUUUAGCCGAACCUCGGUACCACCAGAAUAGUCUUCCUGAGACAUACAACCGAUUGUAUCACUGUUUUGCUCAAAACUUUCAUCCUCAAUACAAUUGAAACAAAGCAAAGCAAAACAACACGACUCUGAGCUCCUUGUAUAAUCAGGCUCCACCUUAAACGAGCUCCUGCCAACAUCUCCCUCUUCAUUACUGAGUUCAUGUCUGUGUACUGGUGCCACAUUAGAUUAGCAACUUUGCUACUCCAGCGCUGGCCAAGGCUGGUAUGGCCUUCCUCUCUUUCUGCCAAUAUUGAAUUUCUUCUCAUGGUUGAAGACCAACCGAGGGCUGUCAUGUUCCAACAACACUUCCUGCUCCAGGCUCUGUGAAGCCUAGUCUGACCUCCCAGCACUCAUCAUGUCUAUCUGGUCAGUCCAACCUUGACCUAUUGAGGGCUGGGCUUAUGGUUUUCUUCUUCACUCAGUUCCUUUUGUUUCCUUGUUUAGAUACUGUGGCUGCUUCCUGGGCACUGUAAAGAAUCAUCCUCAUCCUCAUUAAAGAAGAGGACACCCCACAACAAGCUCUUGUCCAACAAGUUCCUCAUGAUUGGGGGAAGGGGAGCUCUUCCUCGUUGGAAGGAUGUGUCAAAGGGCAUACAGACGACAUCAGCUGAUGCCUUCGGAUCAUUCGGCGUCCCUAGCCAGGCACUGUGCAAAGCACUUGACGUGGAUUUCACUUCACCCCCUAAGGACCGUUUGGGUGUGGAUCCCACCAGGCAAGUACUGAUGCUUCAGGGAAAUGCGCACGCGGGAGGUCAGUCAACUAGCGAACAAACGGUAGGAUCAGGAUUUGAACCCAGACCAUCUGGCUGCAGAGUCCCAUGGCAGUUACCCCACUGUUGCUUGACAAACUACCCUGAAAUUUAGCAGCUGAAAGCAACCCCCAUUUUAUUACAGUCGGAGAUCCAGGCAGGGCUCGCCCGUCGCAGCUCGGCGGGCCUGGGUGUUUCUGCUCCCUGUGGCAUGGGCUAAGGUUGCUUGGUGGCAUUUGCCAGGUGG